AUGAUUGUUCUCCGUCUGGACAUUGCACAAGAACGCCGGCCCCUCACCGAGGGAGAGUUCCACCUACGGAAACUUCUGAAGCUGCGUAUUCUAGGGCUAACGGCGGUAGAAAGAGCUCGGAAGCGCCAGGCAUCUAGGAUAACCUGGCUGCGAGCGGGCAAUGCCCAAACGGCCUUCUUCCAGGCCAAGAUCAGCGCCAGGCGCAUGACAAUUUUCAUCCACUCGCUGCAAGGACCGGCUGGAGUUGCCACAACGCAUGAUGAAAAAGAGGAGCUAAUCCACAAUCACUUCGACCGAUCUUUAGGAGCUAGACAGGGCCGACCCAACACAAUAGAUUGGAGCUACAUCGAGUUGCCAAGGGUACAAGGAGGCGGGCUCGAUAACCCUUUCACCUAACAUGAAGUGUGGCAAGCAAUCAAACAAUCGCCUACGGAAAAAUCCUCUGGGCCAGAUGGCUUCUCCGGCGUCUUCUUCAGAACCUGCUGGCAAACCCUAAAAGGGGACAUCAUGGCGGCCUUCCACCAGUUCUACCAUCUCGCCAGGGGCAAUUUCUAG
This 555-nucleotide ribosomal RNA is filed under the name Triticum aestivum (bread wheat). RNAcentral describes it as "partial small subunit ribosomal RNA". The record is from RNAcentral. Lineage: Eukaryota; Viridiplantae; Streptophyta; Magnoliopsida; Poales; Poaceae.